AUUGAACGCUGGCGGAAUGCUUUACACAUGCAAGUCGAACGGCAGCACGGACUUCGGUCUGGUGGCGAGUGGCGAACGGGUGAGUAAUGUAUCGGAACGUGCCCAGUCGUGGGGGAUAACGUAGUGAAAAUUACGCUAAUACCGCAUACGAUCUAUGGAUGAAAGCGGGAGAUCGCAAGACCUCGCGCGAUUGGAGCGGCCGAUAUCAGAUUAGGUAGUUGGUGGGGUAAAGGCCCACCAAGCCAACGAUCUGUAGCUGGUCUGAGAGGACGAACAGCCACACUGGAACUGAGACACGGUCCAGACUCCUACGGGAGGCAGCAGUGGGGAAUUUUGGACAAUGGGCGAAAGCCAGAUCCAGCCAUUCCGCGUGCAGGAUGAAGGCCCUCGGGUUGUAAUCUGCUUUUGUACAGAACGAAAAGGUUUCUACUAAUACUAGGAGCUCAUGACGGUACUGUAAGAAUAAGCACCGGCUAACUACGUGCCAGCCGCCGCAGUAA
RNAcentral lists this ribosomal RNA (500 nucleotides) under uncultured bacterium. RNAcentral describes it as "partial 16S ribosomal RNA". It matches the Rfam family "Bacterial small subunit ribosomal RNA", at positions 30 to 523 of the family's 1533-position model. The record is from RNAcentral.